Equus caballus (horse) is the source of this 9705-nucleotide long non-coding RNA. The record is from Ensembl. NCBI's taxonomy places the organism in Eukaryota, Metazoa, Chordata, Mammalia, Perissodactyla, Equidae.
CUGACCUGUACAGAGCACUCUGCAGUUUACAAAGCGCUUUCACACACCUUGACUCAUUUCCACCCUACGACAACCCCGUGAGGUUGGGAUUAUCAUUCCCAGUCAAGAACUGAAGAGACUGAGCCCCUGAGAGUGGCUUGUCCACUAUUGUCACUGGUAGAUGGCCAAACUGUGACCGGAAGCCUGGUCUUCCUGCUCACAGACGGAGAAGAGCGUGUCCUGGGGCCCUCUCACUACCAGGCCCUUGUCAGUUGUUACCUGCAUACGUGAGGGAAGCUGAGGCUCGCUAGGUUUGCUUAGCAAUUUGCUCAGGGUCUCCAACCAGCUGGUGAGUGCUGUCAUGAGGGGCCGAACCCAUGUGGUUCUAACUCUAAAGUCAAUGGAUACAUGAAUUUAUUCGGUGAGAUCAUCAGCCGUUUGGUCCUGUCCAAAACAUCCAUAAGACAUUUGGUCCGUGCCAAAAGGUCCUUGAUAUUUGGUCAUAUUUAUUCUUGUCCAAAAUGUCUAUGGAGACAUUAGGUCCAUGCCAAAAGGUUCUUGACAUUUGGUCCUGUCCAAAACCAUUUGGCAUGGACCAAAUAUGCUCAUGGACAUUUUGGACAGGACCAAAGCUCAAGGACCUUUUGGCGUGGACCUAAUGUCUUAUGGACGUUUUGGACAGGACACCCUGCAAGGAUUAGGAUGCAUGGCCUCCCAAAUCCCAGGUCUUCUCCUUGACCCAGAGGGACUUCUCCAUGGGCACUGAGCUGUGGCUGGUCACCCUGUUGCAGUGGUUCCUAGUCUGUCGAGAGUCAUGAUUUCCAGCAUCACCCUUACCCUCGUCAUCACUUACUAGGUGCUUACUAUAUGCCAACGUCUUCACCAGGAACAUUAUGUAACUGAUGCUCUGGGCUGAAUGGUGUCCCCUCCAAAUGCAUGUGUACCUCAGUACCUCAGAUUAUGACUGUAUUUGAAGAUACGGUCUUUAAAGAGAUAACAAAUGUAAAAUGAGGUCAUUAGGGUGGGCCCUAGUUCAAUAUGACUGGUGUCCUUAUAAGAAGAGGAAAUUAGGACAUGGACGCACACAGAGGGAGAACCAUGUGAAGACACAGGGAGAAGACGACCAUCGGUAAGUCAAGGAGAGAAGCUACACAAAGAACCAAUCCUGCCGACACCUUGAUCUUGGACCUCUGGCCUCCGGAACUCCAAUAAGGCACUGUGCCUAAGAGAACACACCCACAGGAGGCAGCCUGUGUAGCCUGCCAUCUCAGCUGCCUCACUUGCCAGCUGUGGGACCUAGGGCAGGUUGCGUAACCUCUUGGCGCCUCUGUCUCCUCGUCCGGGAAGCACAGAAGUGUGUACCACAGAGCCCCUCGGGGGCUGUUGGCAGGACCACUGGGUCCAUGUGCCCAGAGCCCUCUGCAGCUUCCCUUCCAAGUGAGACACCACACCUGACCAACCCUGGUUUGUUUACUGUCCGCCUUCCAACAGAAGCCAGUCCACUGACUGCAGAUCAUUUUCCCUGGGGUUUAGGAAACCAGGCUCUUCACUCACACGUUCUCCCGGCCUGCACAGAAGGCCCGUCUCUUCCUUGGUGGGUGGAUGUUGGUAACUUGAAUAUUCCACCCCUCUCUCUUGCUUCUAGGACUUUGUAUGUGCCUUUCCCUUCUCUUGGAAACUUUUCUCUCUGUCUCUUUGUAUGACCAACUCAUACUCAUCCUUCAGGCGUCAGCUUAGAUACGACCCUUCCUGAGAACCGUGACUUCAUCCUGGUUUCUGGGCCCCCACAGUUCCCACCACAGAAAUGCCCACGGCACUGCAACUUCUCUUUGUUGUCAUGGUCUGUCUGUGCCCCCGCCUCCCCCUACCCCAUUAGACUGCGUGCUCCCUGAGGGCAGGAACAGGCCCUCUGUCCACUGUUGGAUCCACGGGGCAUGUCUGACACACAGUGCAUAAUUCACAAAUUUUUAUUGGCUGAAUAAACCCAAAGGUCAUGUUUUAGGAGAGGACAAAGAUGAUGAAAUUAACACCGCCGGCCCCACUUAUCCCUCCCUUGUUUUGCAAGGAGCACCCUCGGUUGGCGUUGCUCGUUGGCGUGUGGAGAGGAGCAGGGCAGAAGCUUUCAGGGCUGGGGGAGGGAAAAAAAUUUGACUCAGGUUCUGUGGACGAAUGUUCUGGAAUUUGAACAGUGGGAAUGAGUGGGAAAGGGGGCAGAGAUUUGAACGGACACCAUGAGGAAGAGGACUUGUGGAGAGCGAGAGAUGUCGAAGGAGGAUUUGUGUGUGUGUGAGCAGCUGUCAAAAUCCCUCCUCAGUGUCCCCACCGGGCUUCAAUCAAGGGUGGCCCCUGGACCAGCAGCAGCAGCAUCACUGGACGGUCAGAAAUGCAGCUUCCCUGGCUCCGCCCUGGACCUAUGGAAUCAGGGUGGGACCUGGCACUCUGGGCUUUAACAAGCCCUCCAGGGGAUUCUGACCAUGUUCGAUUGAGUCUGGGCACCAACUGCGGUUAAAACCUACACGUCUUUUUACUCCUCUUUAGAGCUGCUCCUGCGCUGUCUUGGGAGAGCCGCCCCGGAGGCGUCAGGCUUCAGGAUGGAGCAGGAAGGCCAAGUUCUCUUCCCACUCACUCACAAGCUCUUGGCUUGCAUCUGCUUUACCCUCUCGGUCCUGCCAAUGACCUCUCUUUGACAGGGAAACUGAGGCUCAGAGAGGUAAGGAGCUGGCCCAAGAGAGAUCAGCGGAGUGAACGAGUUGGGCUCUGGUGUUGGGACCUGAUUUCUAGCACCACUUUGUGCUUUUCUAAGGCCUUUGUCACUCUGAGUCCAGGCUUUACUGUCUGUAAAAUGGGACAUGGGUGCCUUGAGCCAGCGGUGGGGUCGAAGGGUGGAAGGAAAGUAUAAAGAGCCUCAUGUGGAAGAUGCUAUGACAGUAGAAGUGUACUGUCUGGUUGCUCACUGGGGACGUGGCUUCUCCAACUUGACACUUCUAGUAAUUUGGGGGUUGCUGACUCCAGGGCAUACUACUGUCCAGGACCCGGAGCCUGCAAGAGUUGCUGUGGUAUUUCUGCCAGAGAGAGGAAGAGAAGAGAGAGACAGAGACAGAGACAAAGAGAGAGACAAAGAGAAACAGAGAGACAGAGAGGGACAAAGGUAGAGAGACAGAGACAGAGACAGAGACAGAGACAGAGACAGAGGCAGAGACAGAGAGAGAAACAGAGACAGAGACAAAAAGCCCAAGACAGAGAGACAGAGACAGACAGAUGGACAGACAGAGAGACAGAGAUAGAGAGACAGAGAUAGAGAGAGAAACAGAGAGAGAGAGAAAGACAGACAGACAGACAGCGAGCAGGCGAGCAGACAGCGGCAGCUCCUGUCUCCUGGACGCGUCUGGAGGGAGCCUGUGUGGGGCUCUGACCCCAGUGCGCUCAUGCAGGACGGGAAUGAAAGUCAGCGGUGGUGUCCUGGGACGUUGCUGCAGACCUGUGGUUCGCAAGCUGGGCUGCCCGUUAGAAUCCCUGGGCAGCUUUGAAGAAUUUCCGCGUCCCGGCUGCACCUUGACCGAUGACUUUCGAGUCUCCGUGGACCGGGCCUGGGCUGCUGGUGAGGCUUCCUUCUGAAGAACUGACUUCCGGCUGCCACAGCACUAAACAUAAAAGCCAAGAGACGGUCAUAAGGAAACGGGGGCGGGGAGAGCGCGUUUGUUGGAAUCUCUUCUUCCACGGUCACACACUGGCUGAACAUAGCCUGGAGAGGGACUCGGCUCUCAAGGACACGCGUGAUUUGGACUGACGAUCCAGGUUAGACACCGGGAAUCCAGGAUAACCGCCCAUCUCCAAGUACUUAACUUUACACACAUCUGCAAAGUCCCUCUUGCCAAGUAAAGUAAUAUUUUUCACAGGCUCCAGCGACUAGGAAUGGGGGCAUCUUUGAGGGGCUGUUAUUCUGCUCACCACAAGUGCUCAGCACAGUAAGGACUUGGGGAAGGUUAGUUAUGCUGAUCUCAUCUAGGUCAUCUAGCUCAGCUGGUUCUGCUAAUGACUUGGAGAGGCAGACACUGCUACACGCCCAGAUUCUGUCACUUCCUUGCUGUGUGAACUUCGGCUGGUUACUUAGCGUCUCUGAACCUCACUUUCCUUCUCUGUAUAAUGGAGGAUAAAGUACCAAUCUUACAGUGUUGUUUGUGAUAAUAAAGUGAAAUAAAGCCGCUUAGAGCAUUGUCUGGCAUGUAGUAAGCACUAAGAGGCAUCAUCUAAAAUAAUAUUAACAACAGCAGCAUCAGUAGCAUCAUCUUCAUCUUACACGAAGGAUGUAAUCGGCCAUUCACAGUUGCAAGGUCUGUUGCAGACGCAGGCCUGUGGCUCCAAGGUCUGUGCUUUCUUCAGGAGCGAGAAAGGGACCUGUGGGCUCCUCAGGGAAGAAUGAAGGCCGGGGGUGGACUCUCCAAGAAGCAGAUUUCAGCUCAAUGAAAGAACUUUCUAUUAGGCCAGUUGUCUGGCAAAGGUGAGCCUCCUUUCCUGGGGGCUGCACAGAGACCCCCCACGGUCCCUUCUUCCAACUCCAGAGUCUCUGAGUAGGGUCUUCAGGAUGCAUUUGGCUGGCUUCCCGACCUCCUGCAGGAACGGGGCUGACCAGGUGCCGGGAGCUCCCUGUGGAGCGGGGUGGCGAGGGCUUCUGUGAGAAAGGCGUAGCUUCUGGUCUCCCCUCUGCACUCAUCUUCCAUUUCUCAGGACACCCUGUGGCUGGGCUGUUGGCAGAGGCCAUGGGAGUUCGCCAACAUACGAGCGGAAGGACAGACAUGGCAGCCCCUGCUAGAUCUUUGGUUUCUCACCCUUCAUUCUACAGAUGAGGAAACUGAGGCCCAGAGAGGUGCUGGGGUUUGCCUGAGGUCGGUCGUAAUGCAAGUGGGAAGAGACCUGGGACUGGAAUCCAGAUCUUGCAGCUCGCAGGAACAGCUUCUCUGUCCUCCAUCCCUCCCAGUACAGACGUACUGCAUGAGAGACACUGUGCCAGAUGCUCCCUUUUCAGCAGAGAAAAGAUACACACCCUCCCCUGCAUCCAAGCUCUGUGGAUUUCCUCCCCUGACAGUCCAUCCUUGGGGGCCUCCUGUCGAUCACCCCAGUGUGCCGAACGCUUUUCAGCCUCCAGGCCUUUGUCCCUGCUGUUCCUGCUGCUGGAGCCCCUUCUCCCUGCUCCGUGCAUGGCUCACUCCUUUCCUUCCCAGCACCUGGCCGGAUCCAUGGUGCCUGCCUCUUCUCUCUCUCUGGGGCUCGUUUUGCUUCCUUCGCUGGCUCCCACACAGCAGUCUGCUUGAGCUGAUUUCUUGCUCAUCAUCCGUGCCUCCUCUAGGCUCGGAGCCCCCUUAGGGCAGGGACUCUGUCACUGUUCCCACCACCAUGUCUCCACGGGCUCUGUGCUUGAAAUGUACCUGGUGACUGACUAAAUCAAUGUCUGCUUUCCAGUGGGCAAAAGAGUUAUUAACAAGGCGUCCUGCACAUGAGUAAGUAAUUAUGAAUUGUGGGAACUGCUGGGAGCGGGGUCUGCAGUGCUCCCGGGGGCCCGAUAUGUGGGGACCUGCCCCUGCUGGGUCUCCGCCAGGGCACUGAGACCUUGGGGCAGCAGUGGGUUCCUCUGAGGAGGAGCCCUGAUCCCCCAGACCAGGGCAGGCCUCCCGUCCUGUGGCUUGAUAGCUCCCUAGAGGCUUUCUUUACAGCACUCAUUGCAAUGAUACCCAUGUACACAGUUAGUUCUAUUUUUAUUGUGGUUAAAACCCCAUAGCAUACAUUUUACCAUUAGUGACAUUUAGCGCAUUCACAAUACUGCUCAAACAUCACUGCUGUCUGGUUCCAGACAUUUUUCAUCAUCUCCAAAGGAAGCCUCACACACUUUAAGCGGUCCCUUCCCGUGCUCCCACCCCGCGCCCCUGGCAACUGCUAAUCUACUUUCUGUCUCUAUGAAUUUGCCUAAUCUGGAUGUUUUAUAUUCAUCGAAUGAAAUUAGUAUUUAAAAAAAAUUUUUUUCUGUGUCAUCAUCUCCCCCAGGGUAGGAAUUGUGUCUGUCUGCCUGGCUUGCCUUUGCCGAGUUCUGGGCACAGACAAACAGCCGUGGCGGCACAGGAGGACGUUUUCUCCACCGCGCGUCUGUGAGCUCAUAGGAGGUGGGCUGUGCGUCUUAUAGGACCAGCGGCGUGCGCGUGCUCAGGUUCAGUUCCUCCAGCUGCCUCUUGCUGGAUCAAGUGUUACCUGAGGACAGUUGCUUAAUACCUCGAAGCAUCCAUUUCUUCAUCAAUAAAAAGUAGAUAGUGGUGAUGUUCGCCGCCUUGGGGUGACAUGAGGACAGAUGACCUGCCGCUGGCGCCAGGGCCUGGCCAGGAGCAGAAACUCAUGAACGUGAGCUAUUGUUAUUAUUUUCCAAGUUUUCAAUCCCAUGCUUUAGGAUAGAUAAUGAGCAGAGUCCGAACUCAGCAAAUGCAUUUUAGUUGGAAUGAUGCGUAAGAGGGUUUAAAAAUUAGGCCAGUGGACGUUCAGGUCAAAACUGCAGAUAGCUCAUUUGGGGUAAAGACAAGAAAGAGACCCCUUGCAUUAGCUUUUGCUAAGUUAUUCUACGAUGAUGAACAUCAACAACCUGGCAGAGGCUUACAGCCAUAGGGGUUGGCUUUGCUUUCUUUGUGGGUCCCUGUGGACCAGUUGUGGCUCUGCUCCUGUGUCUUUUCAUUCCAGGGUCCAGGCUGAGGAAGCUGACCUCACAUCUGGGAUGUGCCACUCCUGUGCCAGAGGGAAGAGGCAGGGAUGGCUGACAUCGUUACCACUCACAUCCGGAGGCUACGCCCAUCACAUUGCCAAGCUUGGUGUCUGGGGUGGGGGCAGGGCAGGGACUGUACUGCCCUCCUCCAAGCGGGCACCGCAGGUAGCCGAGCAGGGAGUAGGGAUGGAUAAUCCUCUCCCAGGGAGGGCAGCCAAUAACUGGGAAUAAUCAUAGGCGGGCCACCCUCUGCCCUGAGAGCUUUAGUUAUUUUGGGGGCGUGGUCUGACGCAUCUCUUCAGCUCGCUCACUUCAGUGCUCCACCUACAACCCAGCACCAUCACCCUAGGAGAUUUGGGGGGCUGUCAACUAAGAAUGGGUACAGUGAGUGGUCUGUGAGGGUCUCUUGCUCUGCAGAUUUGGUCCAUACACUGAAACCUAUGAAACCCCCUUCUUGGCAGUGUUAUCUAUGGUAGUAGAAAACGAGGAAUAGCCUAAAUAUCCCUCAAUAGGGGAAUGACAAGUGAACAGUGUUUUGUUCAUGCAAGGGCAUCUCUACUACCAUUGAAAUAGAUGAACCACAGCUAAAUAUUAAAUUGGAAGACUCUCCAAAAUGUAAUGGUGAGUGGAAAAAGCAGAUGUAGGAUGAUAUCAAUAGAAAAACAUGCAGUCUUUGAAACAGGGAAUUCCUCAAAAUGUUAAACACUGAGUUACCAUAUGACCCGGUAAUUCUGCUCCUAGGCAUACACCCAAGAGAAUUGAAAACACUUGUCCACACCAAAACUUGCAUAUGAAUGUUCAUGGCAGCAUUAUUCAUAACAGCCAAAAAGUGGAAACAAUUGAAAUGCCUACCAAUAGACGAAUGGAUAAAAAAAUGUGGUAUAUCCACGAAAUGGAAUACAAUUCAGCCAUAGAAAAGAGUAAAGUAUUGAUACAUGGUACAUGGAUGAAUCUUGCAAACAUUCUGCUAAGUGGAAGAAGCCAGACUCAAAAGACCAUAGAUUGUAUUAUUCCGUUUAUAGUAAAUGUUCAGAAUAGGCCAAUCUGUAGAGAUAUAAAUAAGAUUCGUGGUUGCUAGGGGCGGGGGAGAGGAGGGAGUGACUGCUGAAAGGGUACAGGGGUUCCUUUUGUGGUGACGAAAAUGUUCUGGAACUGGAGAGUGGUAAUGGUUGCGCAAAAUUGUGAAUAUAUGAAAUGACACUGGAUUUUGUACGGCAACCUCCCUUGUCCACAGGGGAAACGUUCCAGGACCCCCAGCGGAUUCCUGAAACCGAGGAUAGACUGAACUCUACAUAUGCUAUGCUUUUUCAUAUAUAUACACGCUUAUGAUAAAGUUUAAUUUGUAAAUUGGGCACUGUACAAGAUUAACAACGGUAACUAAUAAUAAAGUAGAACAAUCAUAAUGAUAUUAUGUGAUAAAAGUUACUGUGGAUCUUAGCCACCUCUGCAUAUAAUUUUUUUCUUUCCUUAUUAAGUUGAGAGCUUUCGCCUUUUCGCUUAAAGGAAGCACUGUUUGGCUUCUCUUUGGCAACUCCGAACUACCAGCAUCCCUGCUCUUGCACUUGGAGGAGGUCCUCAUCCCUUGUCUGCAAUUCUGAAACCUACGAUGCACCAUAAAGCAGAAGCUUUUCUGGGAAAACUCUUUUUCCUGAGCUCCCCUGGACUGAUGAGAGUGCAUUGACCUCUUUGGGAGUGCACUUCAGUCCAGGCUUGGCCUGUGGAGGUAAACUAGUCUUCAUAGCCCUGGCGUGGAUGUGAACUCAAACUCCCCUCUGGAUUCCGGAGCUGUGACAAUCUCCUCCUCUCACCUGACUUUGGAGAAAUACAUGCAGACUGCCCUUGCUCCUCUGGACUGUGACAAUUUCUCAGACUCGCCUCGUUUUUGACGACCUGAACAUCUUUGAGGAGGACUGGUCAGGCAUUUGGGAGAAAUGUCCUUCAGCUGGGGGUUUCAUUUGGGACUUAUACAGAAGACUGCGCUGGCUUGUCAUGCGUCUUGUUCAUCACUGAGCUUUCCAUGGUGUCAGGCACGAUGACUGGCGAAUGGUAGGUGUUUGAUACGCGUCUAGUGGUUGAUUGUUUGCAUUUGCUGAGGAUGGAGAAAGUGGAGGCCUGCAUACUUCAAAAGUCCGGAAGUUACAGACGUCAGCGAACAUGGACUGACCUAGCUCAGCUCUGAGCAGAGAGAAGUGGUUUAGUAACUUUGGUAGUGUUUUACUUCCUUUUUGCAUAAUUUUUGCAUAAUUGCCUGAAGAAGCGAGGGGAGUGGACAUUGCUGUGAUACCAAGACUACCGUGGCCGACGAACCAUGGGUGUGCCAGGGUCAUCCAGCUUUGAGAGUAGCACCAUCACACACUUCGUUGCUCAAGCAAGAAACCUGGACAUCGUACUUACUCUUCCUUCUCUUCCAGCUACUACUGUCGGUCAACAGUCAAGGGCUGCUAAAUAUGCCUUCUUUGUUUUUUAUUCUUUUUUCAAAUUUUUAAAUUUUAUUGAGGCCACAACGGUUUAUAACAUCAUGUAAAUUUCAUGUGUAUAUCAUUGUAUUUUGGCUUCUGUAUAGACUGCAUCCUGUUCACCACCGAAAGUCUAGUUACCAUCCGUCACCAACCAUAUGUGUCCCUUCACCCCUUUUGCCCUUCCCAUUCUCUUCCCCUCUGGUAACCACCAAUCUCUUUUCCUUAUCCACGUGUCUGUUUAUCUUCCACAUAUGAGUGAAAUUGUAUGAUAUUUGUUUUUCUCUGUCUGACAUAUUUUGCUUAGCCUAAUACCCUCAAGGUCCAUUCAUGUUGUUGCCAACGGCACGAUUUCUUCUGUUUUUAAGGUUGAGUAGUUUUCAUUGUUUAUCAACUAGGAGAAGAUAUUUGCAAAUCGUAUUUUUUUCCAAUCGUAUAUAAUUUUUUUCCAAAUCGUAUAUAAUUUCCAAAAUAUAUAAAGAACUCAUACAAUUCAACAACAAAAAAAGAAUAACCCGAUCAAAAAAUGGGCAG